Molecule: transfer RNA, 83 nt
Filed under: Clostridiales bacterium
Lineage: Bacteria; Bacillati; Bacillota; Clostridia; Eubacteriales
Description: tRNA-Leu
Rfam family: tRNA
About the family: Transfer RNA (tRNA) molecules are approximately 80 nucleotides in length. Their secondary structure includes four short double-helical elements and three loops (D, anti-codon, and T loops). Further hydrogen bonds mediate the characteristic L-shaped molecular structure. tRNAs have two regions of fundamental functional importance: the anti-codon, which is responsible for specific mRNA codon recognition, and the 3' end, to which the tRNAs corresponding amino acid is attached (by aminoacyl-tRNA synthetases). tRNAs cope with the degeneracy of the genetic code in two manners: having more than one tRNA (with a specific anti-codon) for a particular amino acid; and 'wobble' base-pairing, i.e. permitting non-standard base-pairing at the 3rd anti-codon position.
Source: RNAcentral
GCGGGUAUGGCGGAAUUGGCAGACGCGAUGGAUUUAGGUUCCAUUACCAAUAAGGCGUGCAGGUUCAAGUCCUGUUACCCGCA